RNAcentral lists this ribosomal RNA (497 nucleotides) under uncultured bacterium. RNAcentral describes it as "partial 16S ribosomal RNA". It matches the Rfam family "Bacterial small subunit ribosomal RNA", at positions 28 to 507 of the family's 1533-position model. The record is from RNAcentral.
GAUGAACGCUGGCGGCGUGCCUAAUACAUGCAAGUCGAGCGAACGGACGAGAAGCUUGCUUCUCUGAUGUUAGCGGCGGACGGGUGAGUAACACGUGGAUAACCUACCUAUAAGACUGGGAUAACUUCGGGAAACCGGAGCUAAUACCGGAUAAUAUUUUGAACCGCAUGGUUCAAAAGUGAAAGACGGUCUUGCUGUCACUUAUAGAUGGAUCCGCGCUGCAUUAGCUAGUUGGUAAGGUAACGGCUUACCAAGGCAACGAUGCAUAGCCGACCCGAGAGGGUGAUCGGCCACACUGGAACUGAGACACGGUCCAGACUCCUACGGGAGGCAGCAGUAGGGAAUCUUCCGCAAUGGGCGAAAGCCUGACGGAGCAACGCCGCGUGAGUGGUGAAGGUCUUCGGAUCGUAAAACUCUGUUAUUAGGGAAGAACAUAUGUGUAAGUAACUGUGCACAUCUUGACGGUACCUAAUCAGAAAGCCACGGCUAACUACGUG